UAGCUGCUGCAGCGAAUGUUUGCCUCCUCACCAAAAGCAUCUUGUAUUCCUUCACAUCUUUCUUCCAAUAAGGUACCCUCUCAGACGAGGCAGCUCUUUCACAUUUCUGACUCCAGGAUCGCACUGGGACUUCACUCUGAAGAGGAAGCGCCGAGAGAAAGACGAUGAUGUAGCCAGUCUUUGCAGCCUUGACUUUAAGGUAAGCAAAACCCAUUGCUCUACAAUAUUGUGCAAUCAUCUGCUUCGACUACGGUGGCUUCUAC
RNAcentral lists this long non-coding RNA (263 nucleotides) under Otus sunia (Oriental scops-owl). RNAcentral's name for it is "lncRNA (ENSOSUG00000014507.1)". The record is from RNAcentral. Lineage: Eukaryota; Metazoa; Chordata; Aves; Strigiformes; Strigidae.